Molecule: unclassified non-coding RNA, 404 nt
Filed under: Hevea brasiliensis (rubber tree)
Lineage: Eukaryota; Viridiplantae; Streptophyta; Magnoliopsida; Malpighiales; Euphorbiaceae
Source: RNAcentral
UCUUCAUCUUCAAUGGGAGUAAUUGGAAUCAGAGGAACUUCAAGAUCACUAUUUCGAGAGUCUGCUAAGUCUGCAGAGAAUGUGGGGUUUGAAGGAAUGGCAGAUGUGCGAGGAUAAACAGCUUCAAGAACUCUCAUCUCUCUCUGAUUUUGAACCUCCACCUCUUUGCUUUCUUCGCCCGAAACCACUUGCCAGGUUAAGUCCAAGAUAAACCUGGGAGGACAUCUCCACUUGAUUAUAGAGAUGUCAGACAACUUAAUGUGCAACUGGUUGGCAGAAAGACCUUCAAAACCAGGAGGAAGAAUUUCAUCAGCAGUUGUGCCAGCUGGAUGGGACAGCCAUGAUGCUUUUGCUUGGAGGUGAUCUUGGGUACCCAACCCAACUUGUGAAGGAGAUUCCUCCGA